This 221-nucleotide non-coding RNA is filed under the name Anaerolineae bacterium. RNAcentral describes it as "GlcN6P sequence". It matches the Rfam family "glmS glucosamine-6-phosphate activated ribozyme aptamer". From Rfam's summary of the family: This entry contains a glucosamine-6-phosphate activated ribozyme that is found in the mRNA for GlmS. GlmS is an enzyme that uses fructose-6-phosphate and glutamine to generate glucosamine-6-phosphate. The ribozyme catalyses self cleavage of the glmS mRNA that is thought to regulate GlmS activity. The record is from RNAcentral. Lineage: Bacteria; Bacillati; Chloroflexota; Anaerolineae.
GGUGGGGGAACAGCGCACGGACUGCGCCAGUCCACGGCGCAGUUGACGAGGUGGAGGUUCCCUGCUGUACGGCAGGGCGAACCCGCGUCGUUCAUGCGGGGAAAAUCGAGAGAUCAGCGGAUGCCUCCGGGGAGUGCCACAUCCCCUUCUCCCCUCCAAGGUGAAGCACCCACACAAAGCUGGCGGGUGACCGUCAGGACAAAGGGGGUGCAGUGGCAAGU